RNAcentral lists this ribosomal RNA (880 nucleotides) under marine metagenome. RNAcentral describes it as "bacterial SSU rRNA". It matches the Rfam family "Bacterial small subunit ribosomal RNA", at positions 491 to 1372 of the family's 1533-position model. The record is from RNAcentral.
GUCCGGCUAACUUCGUGCCAGCAGCCGCGGUAAUACGAAGGGACCUAGCGUAGUUCGGAAUUACUGGGCUUAAAGAGUUCGUAGGUGGUUGAAAAAGUUGGUGGUGAAAUCCCAGAGCUUAACUCUGGAACUGCCAUCAAAACUUUUCAGCUAGAGUUUGAUAGAGGAAAGCAGAAUUUCUAGUGUAGAGGUGAAAUUCGUAGAUAUUAGAAAGAAUACCAAUUGCGAAGGCAGCUUUCUGGAUCAUUACUGACACUGAGGAACGAAAGCAUGGGUAGCGAAGAGGAUUAGAUACCCUCGUAGUCCAUGCCGUAAACGAUGUGUGUUAGACGUUGGAAAUUUAUUUUCAGUGUCGCAGCGAAAGCGAUAAACACACCGCCUGGGGAGUACGACCGCAAGGUUAAAACUCAAAUGAAUUGACGGGGACCCGCACAAGUAGUGGAGCAUGUGGUUUAAUUCGAAGAUACGCGCAGAACCUUACCAACACUUGACAUGUUCGUCGCGACUUUAAGAGAUUAAAGUUUUCGGUUCGGCCGGACGAAACACAGGUGCUGCAUGGCUGUCGUCAGCUCGUGUCGUGAGAUGUUGGGUUAAGUCCCGCAACGAGCGCAACCCUCACUUUUAGUUGCCAUCAUUAAGUUGGGCACUCUGAAAGAACUGCCAGUGAUAAGCUGGAGGAAGGUGGGGAUGACGUCAAGUCCUCAUGGCCCUUACGUGUUGGGCUACACACGUGCUACAAUGGUAUCUACAACAGGAAGCAAAACGGCGACGUUAAGCAAAUCCUUAAAAGAUACCUCAGUUCGGAUUGCACUCUGCAACUCGAGUGCAUGAAGCUGGAAUUACUAGUAAUCGUGGAUCAGCGUGCCACGGUGAAUGCGUC